This 303-nucleotide ribosomal RNA is filed under the name uncultured bacterium. RNAcentral's name for it is "partial 16S ribosomal RNA". It matches the Rfam family "Bacterial small subunit ribosomal RNA", at positions 507 to 807 of the family's 1533-position model. The record is from RNAcentral.
AGCAGUCGCCACGGUAAAACGUAGGGUCCGAGCGUUGUCCGGAAUUAUUGGGCGUAAAGAGCUCGUAGGCGGUGGUUUAAGUCCGUUGUGAAAGCCCUGGGCUCAACCUGGGAAUUGCAGUGGAUACUGGGUCACUAGAGUGUGGUAGAGGAUAGUGGAAUUUCCGGUGUAGCAGUGAAAUGCGUAGAGAUCGGAAGGAACAUCUGUGGCGAAGGCGACUAUCUGGGCCAACACUGACACUGAGGCACGAAAGCGUGGGGAGCAAACAGGAUUAGAUACCCCAGUAGUCCCUGUCUCUUAUAC